Long non-coding RNA from Oreochromis aureus, 431 nucleotides. NCBI's taxonomy places the organism in Eukaryota, Metazoa, Chordata, Actinopteri, Cichliformes, Cichlidae. The record is from Ensembl.
UAUAAAUAAAGCUGACUACAAAGCCUCGGGACGGAGCCACCAGAUCCUGACGUCGUGACUACCUGCACUGCAACCACCGUUUCUAGCGAAGCGAGGAAAAGCCCAGAGUCGUACAUUCGCCUACUGGCCAGUGUCUUAUACAGGUCCACGACGCCAGGUUCUCGGUGACGCCGGGAAAAAGAACACAGCGCAACAUUGAAGUCUCUUCCAGGUUGAAACCAGGAGAUUGGAUCCUGAUAAAAGUGCUCCAGAGGAAAAACUGGAGCUCCCCGAGGUGGGAAGGACCCUACCAAGUCCUCCUGGCCACACCAACAGCCUGCAAAAUUGCUGAACGACCUUCCUGGAUUCAUCAGAGCCACUGUAAAAAAGUGAGUGACAGCCCAUAAACACUGAGACGCCAGCACCCCUGCCUGUUAGUGAUCUGGGAGGUG